ACCUUCCCCGGUCAGGGCUCGGCAGGGCGGGAGUCGAGCCCGGCACGUGGAAGAGCC
This 57-nucleotide microRNA precursor is filed under the name Bos taurus (domestic cattle). RNAcentral describes it as "Bta-Mir-2373_pre stem-loop". The record is from RNAcentral. Lineage: Eukaryota; Metazoa; Chordata; Mammalia; Artiodactyla; Bovidae.